This 386-nucleotide ribosomal RNA is filed under the name Perna canaliculus (greenshell mussel). RNAcentral's name for it is "SSU rRNA". It matches the Rfam family "Eukaryotic small subunit ribosomal RNA", at positions 38 to 417 of the family's 1831-position model. Lineage: Eukaryota; Metazoa; Mollusca; Bivalvia; Mytilida; Mytilidae. The record is from RNAcentral. RNAcentral also lists the same sequence under 1 other name.
CAAAGAUUAAGCCAUGCAUGUCUAAGUACAUACUUUUACAUGGUGAAACCGCGAAUGGCUCAUUAAAUCAGUUAUGGUUCCUUAGAUCGUACAAUCCUACUUGGAUAACUGUGGUAAUUCUAGAGCUAAUACAUGAAACUGACGCUCCGACCCUCUGGGAAAGAGCGCGUUUAUUAGAACAAGACCAGUCGGGGUUCUGCCCCGUACGAUUGGUGAUACUGGAUAACUUUGUGCAGAUCGCACGGCCUCGCGCCGGCGACGUAUCUUUCAAAUGUCUGCCCUAUCAACUGUCGAUGGUACGUGAUAUGCCUACCAUGGUUGUAACGGGUAACGGGGAAUCAGGGUUCGAUUCCGGAGAGGGAGCAUGAGAAACGGCUACCACAUCC